ACUGGAAACAAUACAGGCAGCAAAUCUGCUGCGAAGCCCUGUGGAGCGCGAGCUUGUUAUUGUUUAGAAAUAGAGCCCUGCGGAACGCCAACUUUGUUUUCUCUUGACAGCGAGAGGAAGCCACCUCUAAUUCUACUCCAGAUGUGUGUGACACCCAACUAUUGUGCUACGGUCCGAGGCGAGGGACGGAGGGAGACAUGGACGUGAGUGUUUUCUAGGGGGGUGCAUUGUAUAGAAAGUGGGCAAAGAGUUGUAUGUGAGUGAGUGACACAAUGGUAUUGUUCUUUUUGGGGUGUUGGUUGAAUGUGUGUGUUGAGGAAGUGAAGGAUGUGUCGGAGUUGACCCAGUGACACUCAUCUCUGUCUUGUCUCCCCAUGGGAAGUGUUUGAGGGCAAAAAAGGGGAAGCUGUCUCGCUGACAAGACCAGCUUUUAGCGCUGAAGUGUGUUUUUUUUCCCUCCUUUUGCAGCAAAUUGCUAGUUUAAGGUAACUUGUUUGCAUUAUUUUAUCCGACAACUUAAACCUAAAAAAAGAAACACACGGUACAAACAGUUUGUCAGAGCUCUUUCUCAGAAAUCUUUGAGGUUACAGGAAACAGGAGAGGUCUCCAGCUCCUGGAAAGCAUCGAAGAACGAGGCUUGGCGACCUCAUGAUCCCGUUCAGCUACCGCUAAGUGCUGCUCUCUUUCUAGCCGCCUAGCGAGCACUUUUUGGGCCCUGGCCGCCUCCUCUUGCAUCCGCUGUCCUUCCCCGACCCUAUUGUACAGCAGUUUAUACUCAUGGUUAUUCAGGCGGUGGACAUUUUCCAGCUCUGUCUUCUUUAUUCUCUCCUUCAAGAUUGCAGCCUGUGGAGAGGAGGGACCCUGAGAGGGAUUGGAACCAACAGAGCAACAUUUACGCUGACUGGAUCUGCUGUGGGGAUGUGACCUCCUGUGGGAGGACCUGCUCGGCUUGCUGCUGUGGUGGCUGCUAGAGUUGGGACGUUUGGCAGGUGCUGGGCCCGCGGAUGGCAGAACCCAACCCGGUAGUGCUUCGGGGAGCAGAGCUGGAGGAGAGAAUGAGCCUCCCGUCAGCGUCCUUCCAAUCUGGGGAGAAAGCCACCGCCCCCCCCCCCCCCCCCCUGCGGUGAGGGGUUACUGGUCCUCUGACCCUGGUAAUGAUGGAGGGUCAGGAGUCAGGUUGUUUGAAGGAACCAUCUACGUCUGCAGAGCGCGUGAGGAGCGCCUGGGAACCAGAGCUCAGCAUGUGAGCCCGUGAAAUUGAUCUCUCCACAGGGGACAAGUGGUGUGUAUUUAUUUUUAUGUGAGGUUGUGUGUGUGUGUGUGUGUGUGUGUGUAGGAGGGGCACGGCCGCAACAGGAGACGCAGCAGCGGAAAUGGCAGAUCUCUGCGGUCGGACUGUCGCUGGGUGACCUGGGCAGCUCGUCUGCCCGCCUGUCUGCAGCGGGACCGACGGUGACAGCGGACGGAAAACAUUCGUCUGAGGUGACGGGGAAAAAAAGUCCCAUCUGCUUCUCUCAUCAAACUGGUUCUCGCUCUCG
RNAcentral lists this long non-coding RNA (1538 nucleotides) under Takifugu rubripes (torafugu). Its description in RNAcentral is "lncRNA (ENSTRUG00000031113.1)". The record is from RNAcentral. Lineage: Eukaryota; Metazoa; Chordata; Actinopteri; Tetraodontiformes; Tetraodontidae.